Molecule: ribosomal RNA, 950 nt
Filed under: uncultured archaeon
Lineage: Archaea
Description: bacterial SSU rRNA
Rfam family: Archaeal small subunit ribosomal RNA
Source: RNAcentral
UUCCGGUUGAUCCUGCCGGACCCGACUGCUAUUUGGGUGAGGAUAAGCCAUGCGAGUCGAAUGGGAUACCUAAAUUUCCCAUGGCAGACUGCUCAAUAACACAUGAUCAACUUACCCUAUAGAGAAAAAUAACCUCGGGAAACUGAGGAUAAUGUUUCAUAGUUGAAAAGGCUUGGAAAAGUUUUUCGACCAAAAGGAUAAGAAAAAUGGUUUUUAUCCGCUAUAGGAUAGGAUCGUGGUCGAUUAUGGUCGUUGGUGAGGUAAUGGCUCACCAAGCCGAUAAUCGAUAGGGGCCGUGAGAGCGGGAGCCCCGAGAUGGGUACUGAGACAACGACCCAGGUCUUACGAGACGCAGCAGGCGCGGAACCUCAGCAAUACACGAAAGUGUGACUGGGUUACCCAAAGUGUUCAAUUUUGAACUGUGGUAGGUGAGUAAUGUCCCCUACUAGAAAGGAGAGGGCAAGGCUGGUGCCAGCCGCCGCGGUAAAACCAGCUCUUCAAGUGGUCGGGAUAAUUAUUGGGCUUAAAGUGUCCGUAGCCGGUUUAGUAAGUUCCUGGUAAAAUCGGGUAGCUUAACUAUCUGCAUGCUAGGAAUACUGCUAUACUAGAGGGCGGGAGAGGUCUGAGGUACUACAGGGGUAGGGGUGAAAUCUUAUAAUCCUUGUAGGACCACCAGUGGCGAAGGCGUCAGACUGGAACGUGCCUGACGGUGAGGGACGAAAGCCAGGGGAGCGAACCGGAUUAGAUACCCGGGUAGUCCUGGCCGUAAACGAUGCAUACUAGGUGAUGGCAUGGCCAUGAGCCGUGUCAGUGCCGUAGGGAAACCGUUAAGUGUGCCGCCUGGGAAGUACGGUCGCAAGGCUAAAACUUAAAGGAAUUGGCGGGGGAGCACCACAAGGGGUGAAGCCUGCGGUUCAAUUGGAUUCAACGCCGGGAAUCACUAGUGCGGC